AGUGAACGCUGGCGGUAGGCCUAACACGUGCAAGUCGAACGGCAGCACAGUAAGGGCUUGCUCUUACGGGUGGCGAGUGGCGGACGGGUGAGGAAUACAUCGGAAUCUACUUUUUCGUGGGGGAUAACGUAGGGAAACUUACGCUAAUACCGCAUACGACCUACGGGUGAAAGCAGGGGAUCUUCGGACCUUGCGCGAUUGAAUGAGCCGAUGUCGGAUUAGCUAGUUGGCGGGGUAAAGGCCCACCAAGGCGACGAUCCGUAGCUGGUCUGAGAGGAUGAUCAGCCACACUGGAACUGAGACACGGUCCAGACUCCUACGGGAGGCAGCAGUGGGGAAUAUUGGACAAUGGGCGCAAGCCUGAUCCAGCCAUACCGCGUGGGUGAAGAAGGCCUUCGGGUUGUAAAGCCCUUUUGUUGGGAAAGAAAAGCAGCAGGUUAAUACCCCGCUGUUCUGACGGUACCCAAAGAAUAAGCACCGGCUAACUUCGUG
This 492-nucleotide ribosomal RNA is filed under the name uncultured bacterium. RNAcentral describes it as "partial 16S ribosomal RNA". It matches the Rfam family "Bacterial small subunit ribosomal RNA", at positions 29 to 507 of the family's 1533-position model. The record is from RNAcentral.